UUGUCUCUUCACAAACAUUACAAGUUUUUAGCAGAGUAUCAAAAAAGGAACAACUAUUGAUACUGUGCGAAACCUUGAACUGCUUGUGGAAGUAACA
Molecule: microRNA precursor, 97 nt
Filed under: Caenorhabditis remanei
Lineage: Eukaryota; Metazoa; Nematoda; Chromadorea; Rhabditida; Rhabditidae
Description: block2891
Source: RNAcentral